UUGAUACUGUCAGACUAGAGUUUAUUUGACGUAGGCGGAAUGUAGCAUGUAGCGGUGAAAUGCUUAGAGAUGCUACAGAACACCGAUAGCGAAGGCAGCUUACGAAGAUAUAACUGACGCUCAUGCACGAAAGCGUGGGGAUCAAACAGGAUUAGAUACCCUGGUAGUACACGCUGUAAACGAUGAUAACUGGCUUUUGGCGAUACACAGUCAGAGGCUGAGAGAAAUCAAUAAGUUAUCCACCUGGGGAGUACGACGGCAACGUUGAAACUCAAAGGAAUUGACGGGGGCCCGCACAAGCGGAGGAGCAUGUGGUUUAAUUCGAUGAUACGCGAGGAACCUUACCCGGGCUUAAAUUGCAGAUGCUGUAUGUUGAAAGGCAUAUUUCUACGGACAUCUGUGAAGGUGCUGCAUGGUUGUCGUCAGCUCGUGCCGUGAGGUGUCGGGUUAAGUCCCAUAACGAGCGCAA
This 469-nucleotide ribosomal RNA is filed under the name uncultured bacterium. RNAcentral describes it as "bacterial SSU rRNA". It matches the Rfam family "Bacterial small subunit ribosomal RNA", at positions 627 to 1101 of the family's 1533-position model. The record is from RNAcentral.